GAUGAACGCUGGCGGCGUGCCUAAUACAUGCAAGUCGAGCGAACGGACGAGAAGCUUGCUUCUCUGAUGUUAGCGGCGGACGGGUGAGUAACACGUGGAUAACCUACCUAUAAGACUGGGAUAACUUCGGGAAACCGGAGCUAAUACCGGAUAAUAUUUUGAACCGCAUGGUUCAAAAGUGAAAGACGGUCUUGCUGUCACUUAUAGAUGGAUCCGCGCUGCAUUAGCUAGUUGGUAAGGUAACGGCUUACCAAGGCAACGAUGCAUAGCCGACCUGAGAGGGUGAUCGGCCACAAUGGAACUGAGACACGGUCCAGACUCCUAAGGGAGGCAGCAGUAGGGAAACUUCCGCAAUGGGCGAAAGCCUGACGGAGCAACGCCGCGUGAGUGAUGAAGGUCUUCGGAUCGUAAAACUCUGUUAUUAGGGAAGAACAUAUGUGUAAGUAACUGGGCAAAUCUUGACGGUACCUAAUCAGAAAGCCACGGCUAACUACGUG
This 497-nucleotide ribosomal RNA is filed under the name uncultured bacterium. Its description in RNAcentral is "partial 16S ribosomal RNA". It matches the Rfam family "Bacterial small subunit ribosomal RNA", at positions 28 to 507 of the family's 1533-position model. The record is from RNAcentral.